GGGAUAUUGCACAAUGGGGGGAACCCUGAUGCAGCGACGCCGCGUGGGUGAAGAAGUAUUUCGGUAUCUAAAGCCCUAUCAGCACGGAAGAUAAUGACGGUACCUGCCUAAGAAGCACCGGCUAACUACGUGCCAGCAGCCGCGGUAAUACGUAGGGGGCGAGCGUUAUCCGGAUUUACUGGGUGUAAAGGGAGCGCAGACGGAUGAUCAAGUCAGAUGUGGAAGCCCCGGGCAUAACUCGGGGAGUGCAUUUGAAACUGGUGAUCUGGAGUGCUGGAGAGGUAAGCGGAAUUCCUGGUGUAGCGGUGAAAUGCGUAGAUAUCAGGAAGAACACCGGUGGCGAAGGCGGCUUACUGGACAGUAACUGACGUUGAGGCUCGAAAGCGUGGGGAGCAAACA
RNAcentral lists this ribosomal RNA (399 nucleotides) under uncultured bacterium. Its description in RNAcentral is "bacterial SSU rRNA". It matches the Rfam family "Bacterial small subunit ribosomal RNA", at positions 358 to 774 of the family's 1533-position model. The record is from RNAcentral.